GAUCACUAUCCUCUUUCCAUCCUAAAAAAAAGCCCAUUAGCUAAAACUCAAGGUUCAACAAAAUACAUUUUAGCAAAAUAACCUUACUAAAGCUUCUUCUUAACUACUUCCGAUUUAUUUUUGGUUUCCAUCGAGAAACCCGUAGAUGGGGAAUGGGACUUAUUAAUCCCGUUCAAGUUGUGAAUUGUCAGGGGUUUUCCCACCCUAACAAUUCCAAUUGAUCAUCUUCAUUGGGUGGAGUCGGGCCACUCAAGGUUGG
RNAcentral lists this unclassified non-coding RNA (259 nucleotides) under Hevea brasiliensis (rubber tree). Lineage: Eukaryota; Viridiplantae; Streptophyta; Magnoliopsida; Malpighiales; Euphorbiaceae. The record is from RNAcentral.